AUUUGAAACUAAAAAGUGCACAGCUAAUUGUUAAUUUUGAAUCCUUGGGUGAGGGAGCUGUCAAUAAAAGCUAGUUUAUGGACUAUAAACUAUCUUCAUCAAAUACUAAUAUUGCUAUGCUGUAACUUAAAUGAGCUAACGUUGUCUCAAAAGCUGCAUGCUAAACACAGCCUAAAAAAAUUAAGAUGAAGCUUCCGACCUUUCUAUAUCUCAUAAAGAGACUUAUCGAAAUUUUUAUAGAGAAUUCGAUUCAAAAUUUUAUAAGCUGUUAACAAUGCCUCCCCUCACAAAUUAUUAGGUAGGCC
RNAcentral lists this long non-coding RNA (305 nucleotides) under Elaeis guineensis (African oil palm). RNAcentral describes it as "long non-coding RNA (EGUI_LNC020885)". Lineage: Eukaryota; Viridiplantae; Streptophyta; Magnoliopsida; Arecales; Arecaceae. The record is from RNAcentral.